UACAGAGGGUGCAAGCGUUGUUCGGAAUUAUUGGGCGUAAAGCGCGUGUAGGCGGCUUGGCAAGUCGGGGGUGAAAUCCCUCAGCUUAACUGAGGAAGUGCGCCCGAAACUGCUAGGCUUGAGUGCCGGAGAGGGUAGCGGAAUUCCCCAAGUAGAGGUGAAAUUCGUAGAUAUGGGGAGGAACACCGGUGGCGAAGGCGGCUACCUGGACGGUAACUGACGCUGAGACGCGAAAGCGUGGGUAGCAAACAGG
RNAcentral lists this ribosomal RNA (253 nucleotides) under uncultured bacterium. Its description in RNAcentral is "partial 16S ribosomal RNA". It matches the Rfam family "Bacterial small subunit ribosomal RNA", at positions 524 to 776 of the family's 1533-position model. The record is from RNAcentral.